This 253-nucleotide ribosomal RNA is filed under the name uncultured bacterium. Its description in RNAcentral is "partial 16S ribosomal RNA". It matches the Rfam family "Bacterial small subunit ribosomal RNA", at positions 524 to 776 of the family's 1533-position model. The record is from RNAcentral.
UACGUAGGGAGCAAGCGUUGUCCGGAAUCAUUGGGCGUAAAGCGCGCGUAGGCGGCCCUGUAAGUCCGUUGUGAAAGUCAAAGGCUCAACCUUUGAAAGCCGAUGGAUACUGCAGGGCUAGAGUCCGGAAGAGGCGAGUGGAAUUCUCGGUGUAGCGGUGAAAUGCGUAGAUAUCGAGAGGAACACCUGCGGCGAAGGCGGGUUGCUGGGCUGACACUGACGCUGAGGCGCGAAAGCCAGGGGAGCGAACGGG